RNAcentral lists this long non-coding RNA (674 nucleotides) under Anas platyrhynchos platyrhynchos (common mallard). RNAcentral describes it as "lncRNA (ENSAPLG00000027311.1)". Lineage: Eukaryota; Metazoa; Chordata; Aves; Anseriformes; Anatidae. The record is from RNAcentral.
UAUUGACAAUUUGAUAAAGAUGCAGAUGAGAAUGCCUUUUCAUAUUUUCAGAUUAAUUGUUUGUGUAAGGACAUUAUCCUUUUCCUUCUUUGGAAAGCUUUCCAGUGACGUCUAUUUGCAAGGAUGAUAAUUUUCAUAUCCGCCAAUUUAAUAUGAUAUCAUAAGCAGUUCAAAAACAAGAAAAUAAUUAAAAUAAAUAAAUAAAUAAAUAAGUGGUCUUGUAUGAAGUUUUGUUUUUUUCUUUUUAUUUUUUCCUGCAGGAAAACAAUAAUCUACUUCCUGACCUGCUUGAAUUAUUGGGUGGAAAAGAAGUUAACUCACUAUCCCAGUUCCAUGCAGGUUUCCUAUGAAGGAGAUUUACUAAAACAUGAUGGUCAGCGCUGCUUUUUCUUCCACUCUUGCCAGGGGCCAGAAUGCUUCUGAAUUGAGAGACCUAGCUGGAAAUAUUGGUUGCUUCUGAUGCCUGCAUCCUCACAGAGGAACUGAGAUUCCUAUCUGAACUACGGAUUUCAUGAAGCAUCAGGAGGUUACCAGAUACUGUGUGCAUGCUCCUGCAGCCCUUCCGUCUACACAGCCAGACCCUGGGACCUGAAGUCCUUCCUCCUCCCUCUUAAAGUAAAGAACUGGUGACAAUAGAUUCCCCUUGUCAAAAAUUAUGUUUAUUGUUUAAAUGU